CCAAAGCUACAGAGAAACCCUGUCUCAAAAAACAAACAAACAAAAAAAAAAAGAGUUGCCUUAGUCAGAGUACCUCUUCACAGCAAUAGAAUGGUGAAUAAAACACGGGUUCUUUGCAAAGGCUUUUCCCCUAGUCUAAACUUCCUUUUUUUGUUGCAAUUUGCAGAGCAGAAGGCUUUCGUUUUAGUUAAGCCUUGUUUAUCAGUGAUCUCUUCAUGGAUCAGGCCGUGGGUGGUGUAGGUAAUGAAAACCAUCACUGUCAAACCCAUAUAUCAUCUAGAUUGGUCAUGUUAUCAACCAAGAGUCUUCCAGUCCUGCAUUUUGCAUUUCAACCGAUAAUUACCUUGCACUGACUCUUAGAAAAUUAUUUCUAUAUUUGUGUUUGUUUUGUAUGGGUUAAGUCCAGUUUCUUAUUAUCAUUUAUUGAACUUCAUUUAAAAAAUAUAGGCUCGGCCAGGCGUUGGUGGCGCACGCCUUUAAUCCCAGCACUCGGGAGGCAGAGGCAGGCAGAUCUCUGUGAGUUCGAGGCCGGGCUGGACCGAUAGCCUCCGAAACAAUACAGAGAAACCCUGUCUCGAAAAAACAAAAAAAUAUAUAUAUAGGCUCUCAAUUCAGCACAGGCUGGCCCUCAAACUUGUUAUGUAGCUGAGGAUAACCUUGCGUUUUUGAGCCACUUCCCAAGUGCUGGGGUGCAGAUGUGCCACUUGCUUUAUGUGACUUUAUUCUUUUUCUAUUGUGUUGGCAACUAUAACUAGAUGUUAUUCAUCUCUCUGUGCAAACUUAUGAUCAGCUUUUAUGAAGAAUGGAAAUCUUGAUAGUGUUGAGUCCUUUCUUUUCAGGGACAAAGAAUAUUUUUCCAUUUCUUUAAUUCUAGAUCAUUGCUUGUUUGUUUAUUUCCCCUUCCCAAAUCUGGGGAAGGAACCCAGGGCUUUCACUUCUUAGGGAAGUGUUCACAACUGAGCCUCACCCCAUCCUUUUUUUCCUUUCUUUUUAAAUCCCUUCCCUUUGUGUAGUUCUCAUAUAGAUUAUUUUUCUAUUGUUGUUGUUUGUUUAUUGAGACAGGACCUCAUCUAUGUAUCCCUGCCUGGCCUUGAAACUUGAAACUCCUCAUGUAGACCAGGGUGGCCUCAAACUCAGAGAUCUGCCCACCCCUGCCUCUCAACUGCUAGGAUCGAUGGCCUGCGUCACAAACCCAAGCCUCACACAGAUCCUAUGCAUAUAGCAGUCAAUAUAGAAGUAUUCACCACUGAGCAUGCUGGUAUAAAUGAUAAUGUGUUUCUAUUUCCAAAAUCCAAUUACUCAACAUAACCAUACAGAAGCAAUUACUCUUGUGAUAUUGACCUUGUAUCCUGCAUCUUUGCUAUAAUCAUCUAUUAAUUCCAGGGUUUUGUUGGUUUGUUUUGGUAUUUUCUAUAUAAACAGUCAUAUAAACUGGGAAGAGAUCUUCUCAAUCUUUAUUUUUAUUCCCUUUUCUUUCUUUCUACACUAGCUAAGACUUCCAGCACAAUGCUUAAAUGGAUGGUCUUGUUCCUAUAAUUAUCAUUAAUGACUCUAUCUAGUAGUUUUUACUAGAUUCCAUUUGUUAGAUAAUCAGCAGUGAUACUUUGCCCUGAAGUUUUAUAGUAAAACAUUUAUAGUAUGCAGGCUACCCUCAAUAUUAUACCAUUCCACAUCUAGUGUAACAACCUUUUUAAAACAGGGUUUGUACAUUUUGACAUUUCUAGUCUUUCUCUAAUUGCCAUAACUUUACUUGUUUGUGGCAUAAACUCAUACAAUUGUUACAGUUUUUACUUCCCUCCAUAAGCUAGUUUAAAUAUUUCAAUGAUGAAAAAGAAGUUAAUAUUUACUAUAUGUUGACAAUGCCAGUGGUCUUUAUUCUUUUGUAUAGAUCUAGAGUUUCCAUUAUUCUCUCUUGAUCGUAGACAUUCUUCUAAGAUUUUUUAGGUUUUUUUUUCCUUUUGUGCCGAUCGAACUCAGGCUUGGACUUAUUAGACACAUGCUCAACCAACAGGCCAGCUUCUAGCACUGCUUUAACAUGGCUUGACAUGUAGUUACCCGUCAAUUCCUUCCAUUAACAAAUAAUUGGGAAAUGUUUUUAGUGCUGUGUGUGUGUACAUGAGCACAGGUGUCUGCAGAGGCUAAAGGAGCUGGAGUUAUAGGUGAUUGUGAGCAGCUCAACAUUGAUUCCAGAAAUCAAACUCCGCUUCUCUAGGAGUGGUUCUUUUCUCCUCUUCCUAUCCAAGGAUCUUGUAAGCAAGGAGGCAGUUGAUCUCCCAGCAGCAGGAAACCUCUUCAGAUGUGCAAAUCAUCCCAUCUGGGGAGUUCUUUCUAUAGCUACAUAAAGCAGAUUAGACAGUUUUAGUGUUUGGGCUUUUUGUUUGUUUCCUUGAUCGACUGUUUGUUUUGGCAUUGGGGAGGUAGGUUUGGGUGGUAUGGUAAGACCAGGCCUUUGUAGCUCAAGCUGGAAUGGAACUUGCUAUGUAUGAUAGUUUGUAUCUCGACAAAAUCUAGAAUUGCCUGAGAGACAGGCCUCUGGGCAUGCCUAUCUAUCGGGGAUUUUUCUGUUAUGUUAAUUGGGUUGAGAAAACACCCCCCCUGUGGGAGGCACCAUUCCCUGGCUUGAAUCCUGAACUGUGUAAGCAGAGAAAGGGCACUGAACAGUAGCAGCACGUGUUCACUGCUCGCUGACUCCGAUAGCAGCUCUCUUGCUGCCUUGGCUUCCCUGCCAAGAUGAACUGUACCCUCUGAGCCAGAAUAAAGCCUUUCUUCCUUAA
Mesocricetus auratus (golden hamster) is the source of this 2774-nucleotide long non-coding RNA. RefSeq lists it as uncharacterized. The transcript is spliced from 2 exons. The record is from RefSeq and is a predicted model, not a curated record. NCBI's taxonomy places the organism in Eukaryota, Metazoa, Chordata, Mammalia, Rodentia, Cricetidae.